Molecule: long non-coding RNA, 882 nt
Organism: Micropterus dolomieu (smallmouth bass)
Lineage: Eukaryota; Metazoa; Chordata; Actinopteri; Centrarchiformes; Centrarchidae
Exons: 2
Source: RefSeq, a predicted model, not a curated record
ACAGUGGACAUGCACCUACGAUGAAAUACUUAUUUUCCUCACUGUAUAUUACUACAUACAUGCAGUACUGUGCAGGGCGAACGCACAACCCUCCGAUUGAAAGGCCUGUUCACUACUGACUGAGCUGACCAGGAACCGUCUAAUGGCUGUUAAAGAAGUGGCCCGACUGAUUUGAAGACCUGCAGCAUCAAUAACGCUGAAACAACGAGACUGUGGCGGAGAUCCUGCUGCGUAUUCAGCGCUUCCUUAGAACUUCAUAAAACUCUGUUUCAACACAUUCGUUUCUAACAUAUAGAAAACCUGCGUGAUGACGAUAACACCGUUUCAACAAUUCACUACCACAUCACAGCACAUAAGCCCCGCCCCCGCGAGCCCCCCCUGCUCCGCUCAGCGCUGUUCUCUACUGUAUUUAUUCAUUCAGUUGCCAACAGAUUUAAUAAUGUAUUCGUUCACGACGUCAUCGGGCCGUAAGGACACCGUCACCUUAACGGAGUAAAGUGAACAGUAAAGUUACUAAAACAACAUCAGCGCUGCAGUAACACCUUCACCACCUCAAACCUCCAGAGCGUGGCAGCGUUUCACUCUUCACUCAUCCAGAAAGGUCGUGAACUGCAGCGUCUGCAAAGCUGAGCUCUCCUGCAGACACCGGAGAUCUGAAGAGGAGGCGCGUAACGUCGUGUCUCUGUGGACGAUGAAGACUCGUCUCUACCUCCGAACCCCAUCGAGUACCUGGCGGCGUUCCUGCUGAAGAACAAAUCCCAGUUUGAAGAGAGGAAUUAAAGUCAUCGGAAAUCAUUUCAUACAGUAGAAACUUGUUUGUUAGUGAACUGCUACGCUGUUGUUUUUUUUUAAUCCAGAUUAAACAUGUUGAUGUGAGGAGGA